AUACGUAGGGGGCAAGCGUUAUCCGGAUUUACUGGGUGUAAAGGGAGCGUAGACGGUAAAGCAAGUCUGAAGUGAAAGCUCGGGGCUCAACCCCGGAACUGCUUUGGAAACUGUUUUACUGGAGUGCAGGAGAGGUAAGCGGAGUUCCUAGUGUAGCGGUGAAAUGCGUAGAUAUUAGGAGGAACACCAGAGGCGAAGGCGGCUUACUGGACUGUAACUGACGUUGAGGCUCGAAGGCGUGGGGAGCAAACAGGAUUAGAUACCCUGGUAGUCCACGCGGUAAACGAUGAUCACUAGGUGUCGGCGGCCAUAGGCGGUCGGUGCCGCAGCAAACGCAAUAAGUGAUCCACCUGGGGAGUACGUUCGCAAGAAUGAAACUCAAAUGAAUUGACGGGG
Molecule: ribosomal RNA, 396 nt
Filed under: uncultured bacterium
Lineage: Bacteria
Description: partial 16S ribosomal RNA
Rfam family: Bacterial small subunit ribosomal RNA
Source: RNAcentral